This 795-nucleotide long non-coding RNA is filed under the name Phasianus colchicus (ring-necked pheasant). RNAcentral describes it as "lncRNA (ENSPCLG00000016455.1)". Lineage: Eukaryota; Metazoa; Chordata; Aves; Galliformes; Phasianidae. The record is from RNAcentral.
CACAGAGACCCCAUAGAGCCCGCAUUCUGCCCCACAGAGACCCCAAUGUGCCCUAUAGAGGCCCCAUAGAGCCCCAUAGAGACCCCACUGUGCCCCAUAGUGACCCCAAUGCGCCCCUUAGAUCCCAUAGAGCCCCCAUACAGACCCCAUUGUGCCCCACAGAGACCCCAGAGAGCCCCAUACAGACCCCAUAGUGACCCCAAUGCGCCCCAUAGACCCCACUGUGCCCCAUAGAGACCCCAUAGAGACCCCAAAGAACCCCACAGACCCCCCUUCAGACCCCAUUUUGCCCCACACAGCCCCCCCCGCGCCCCCCACCCUCUCGGCCCCUCCGGAGCCGCCGCAGCAGUUCGGCGUCCGUCAUUCCCCGGUACUGCUCCAUGGCCGUGACGUCAUCGCGGCGCGCCGGCGCAUGGAAGUGACGUCACGAGGGGGGGGAAAAGGGGCGGGAGCGCGUUCGGUUCUCUCAGUUUAUUGGCCGCGCCCCGGCCCCGCCCCCUCCCCGCGGUUACGUCACAAUCACGGCACGAGACAGACGAAGGGGGCGGGGCUUAUAAAUAGGGCGUGGUCGAGAGGGGGUGGGCGGGGCCACGCGAAGGGGCGGAGCAAAAGGGAGCGUGGUUAUAAAUAGGGCGUGGUUGAGAGGGAGUGGGCGGGGCCACGGAAAUGGGGCGGGGGCACAAAGGGGGCGGGGCCACGAGGCACAGCGCUGUGGGGCAGAGCUAUGGGGCUGCCCUAUAGGGGUCCAUGGGGGCUAUGGGGCAGAGCUAUGGGGCAGAGCUAUGGGGCAGGGUA